UGGACGAAUGCGGCAACGUUGCGAUAUUUCCUGCUUAAUAUUUUCAGCAUACAUUUCCAGCUGGUUGCAAGGACUUCUGUGGCAAGUUUGUUUUAUUACUUCCAUGCUCUAUGUCUUUGUUCAACUAUCCAAAAUUUGGUUUUGGGCUGUUUAGAAUUUAUUGUUCACAAAUCUGUCUUGUGCAAGUUUCUCUCUGUCUGUGUUUUAGGUUGAAGAUGGCCGAGAGAGGUAAGCCGUACAGUUACUGAUCUAGAAGCAUUAGGCAAGAGUGUCUGAGAACGAUGGUGUGAUCUGCAACACUGUCUUUUUUUAUUACUGAUUUAUUACUGACUAUCUAUUUCUUUCUUUGUUGUUAUUCAACAAGAGAGAACUCCCAUUAAUGGGAAUCAAAAGGAAUCCCUGAAAUCAUGUUUUGAGGAUGGAAUGACACGAGUUGGUUCAGAAUUAUUACCAAGAGCUGCAUCAGCUACUGGUUUGGACACCAGUGUCGUAGAAAUAAGAACUGGAUAGGUAAUUACAAAAGAUCACAAAUGACUAAUGCUUCGUCUGAGCCCCGGUCAUCAAAGGCCAAAGUUCACAUUAGAGAGCUGUCGCCUUACAAUCUUUUUUAUAGGGACAUAUUCAAAAACAAAGGCACAAUGAAUGAUAUUAAGGAAGAUGCAAAGCAAAAAUACAUUCAAGAGGCAGCAGCACUGAGGGCACAUGGGUAGGCACAGGACCUAAACCCUGAGGUGAGGGAUGCCCGAAUUACAAUGCACUUAAAGAAGCUGAAGUUAGAGGUUUGGAAACAGGAUUCAUUUGUUAUUUUCAUUCACCCCAAUUUUUAUUUAUUGUUGUUUGUUGGCACCAUCAAUGUGUUCUCCUUUAUAUAGGACUUAUGUGGGGACCAA
Long non-coding RNA from Carassius auratus (goldfish), 890 nucleotides. RefSeq lists it as uncharacterized. The transcript is spliced from 4 exons. Lineage: Eukaryota; Metazoa; Chordata; Actinopteri; Cypriniformes; Cyprinidae. The record is from RefSeq and is a predicted model, not a curated record.